AAUGAACGCUGGCGGCGUGCCUAAUACAUGCAAGUCGAGCGAACGGACGAGAAGCUUGCUUCUCUGAUGUUAGCGGCGGACGGGUGAGUAACACGUGGAUAACCUACCUAUAAGACUGGGAUAACUUCGGGAAACCGGAGCUAAUACCGGAUGAUAUUUUGAACCGCAUGGUUCAAAAGUGAAAGACGGUCUUGCUGUCACUUAUAGAUGGAUCCGCGCUGCAUUAGCUAGUUGGUAAGGUAACGGCUUACCAAGGCAACGAUGCAUAGCCGACCUGAGAGGGUGAUCGGCCACACUGGAACUGAGACACGGUCCAGACUCCUACGGGAGGCAGCAGUAGGGAAUCUUCCGCAAUGGGCGAAAGCCUGACGGAGCAACGCCGCGUGAGUGAUGAAGGUCUUCGGAUCGUAAAACUCUGUUAUUAGGGAAGAACAUAUGUGUAAGUAACUGUGCACAUCUUGACGGUACCUAAUCAGAAAGCCACGGCUAACUACGUG
RNAcentral lists this ribosomal RNA (497 nucleotides) under uncultured bacterium. Its description in RNAcentral is "partial 16S ribosomal RNA". It matches the Rfam family "Bacterial small subunit ribosomal RNA", at positions 29 to 507 of the family's 1533-position model. The record is from RNAcentral.